UGGCUCAGUGGUCAGAGCACUGGCUGCUCUUCCAGAGGUCCUGAGUUCAAAUCCCAG
This 57-nucleotide transfer RNA is filed under the name Rattus norvegicus (Norway rat). Lineage: Eukaryota; Metazoa; Chordata; Mammalia; Rodentia; Muridae. The record is from Rfam by way of RNAcentral.